RNAcentral lists this long non-coding RNA (478 nucleotides) under Lynx pardinus (Iberian lynx). Lineage: Eukaryota; Metazoa; Chordata; Mammalia; Carnivora; Felidae. The record is from RNAcentral.
GGUAGCAGGAACCAUGCAUGAAGGCCGAAAGGCUCACCUGUAGCUCUUUGACAAUCAUAAAGCACAGAAGCCUGUCUAACCCGUUCAGACCGAAAGUCCCCAAGGUGGUCUGGAUUUCUGAGAAGAGCCGGCUGCUGGUCACUUCUUGGUGAGUCUUCAUAUCAUACCAAGUGUUCAGCUGGUCAAUGUGACAUGUCAUUCUAAAGGAAAGACAAAAAACUCAAAACCCAAAAGCAGCUCAGAGUUCAUCCUGAGGAGAUGGGGGACGUAACAGGAUUUGGGCACCAGAUAUAAGGGAUGACAUGACGUGAUUCGUUUAAUAACGUCUGCGUCCAGGCACCCAGUGUAUCUCACGGUGAAUGCCCAAUGGGCAAAAUUCAGUGAAAUCACCUUUUCCUGCCCUAUGCCAGGUCACCGCUUGGACUAAUUCAUUUCCACUGAAUUGGACUGUUGUUUGGAGCUGAGCGGAGAGGCCAAG